AAUUUUCACCGGGGCUCGUUUAUUUUCGGGGAAAACGACGACGAUGGAACAUACCGUUGCAACAACGCGUGUACGUGGUUAAUUGGACCUUCUCCUGGAUCCUGUACAUCGCGUAGAAAAACAGAGAGAGAAAGAAAGAAUUUAACAAAAGAAAAAAGAAAAUGCGAAGAAUUGGAUCCAUACUGGGUAAAUUUAAGUUUGACGAGGCCAUAAAAUGCCAUUUUCAUGGGCUCACCCGAUGACUCUAUUUUCUCCUUUCUUUUUAUUUUUACAACCCUUCUAUUGAUCUUUCCUCCGCAAGAAUUCUCUUGGUAACGUUUCAAAUGACGAUCGAUCGAUGAAAUAUAAACACUUCGAAUGGGUAACCUCAACAGACUGCUUACUAAAAAUUAUUGAAACUAUCCAUGUGUCCAUCUUCGAUAAAUACGUUUUCUUGUAUUCGUUAUUUCGAAUAUAUUUAAUAAAAAAAAUAAAUAAAUAAAUUGACCAUAAUGCAAAAAAAAAAAAAAAAAAGAAAGAAACAAAA
Molecule: long non-coding RNA, 526 nt
Organism: Apis cerana (Asiatic honeybee)
Lineage: Eukaryota; Metazoa; Arthropoda; Insecta; Hymenoptera; Apidae
Source: RefSeq, a predicted model, not a curated record